GCGAAAAAAAGUUGGUACACUCGGUUGUUCUUUUAAUUUUAGCUUGUUUUAAUGUGCUUACAAAAAAAAUCAGACCAACAUGAACUUACUAGCAUAUUCUGGAAUAAUUUUAUGUAUUUUGCAAACUAAUAAAGGAUUCGAAAUAUCGAGGGAAAAGCGGGCAAAAGGAUUUGAAAGUGAUAAGUACUUAGAGAAGUUCGGUUACCUGGACGAGGCGAAAGGUGGUCGCCAGCAUGACGAAACAUCCAGAAAAUAUGCCAUCAGCGAGUUCCAAGAGUUCGCAGGGAUCCGGGUGACCGGGCAGAUGAACGAGGAGACACUGGCCCGGAUGUUGGCGCCCCGCUGCGGGCUUCCUGACGUCAUCCGCCCUGGGGACAGGAUCCCACCGAACGCCCGUGAAACCAACAGGAACAAGCCAUCUAACUUCUACGCCCCAGGAUUCAAGUGGGAUAAGAAUGAAGUAACCUAUAAAUUUGUCGGCUUUUCAAGACAGCUACCGCAGUCUAGUCAACGACGCGCAAUACGAAACGCAUUCUCAAAAUGGUCAGCGGUGACGCCCUUGCAGUUCCGGGAAUCUUCCGGGGCGGCGGACAUCCUUAUUAACUGGGUGUUCGGUGACCACGGGGACGGCAGUCCCUUCGACAGAAGAGGUGGCACUUUGGCGCACGCGUUCUUCCCGGGAACGUCGGCGAUCAGUGGCGACACGCACUUCGACGAAGCGGAGGAAUGGACGGAGGGCAAAAACGCCGGUACCAACCUCGAAAUCGUUGCUGCGCACGAAUUUGGACACGCCAUUGGGCUCAGCCAUUCCAACGUGCGGGGUGCACUCAUGCAGCCAUUCUAUGGCGGCUAUGACCCAAACUACCAGCUCCAAAGUGACGACAUUCGCGGCGUUCAGACACUCUAUGGAUCGGCACCUCGGCCCCAGCCCCGCCCCCAGCCGACCCGCGCGCCACCCGCUACUACACCACGUGAUCGCGACUCCGGCAACAACCCGGACAAGGAGAUUUGUGAACUAAAGUUUGAUGACAUAGCUAAUGGUCCGGACAACCGCCUGUAUGCGUUCAGGUUCGGGCGACUGUACAAGUUCAACUAUGACGGCGUCGGCAUUGAGAAGGUUUACAAAAACUCCCGGAGAGUGUUCCCGAAAGCACCGAAAAACAUUGCGGCAGCGGCCUUCGACAGAAGAAAUAACAAGUUCUAUAUAUUCAAAGGUUACAAGUUGUGGCGAUACAGCCAGUUCACGCUGGACGCCGGGUAUCCAAAGCGCCUCCAAGGCUGGUAUCGGAACGUCGACGCCGCCAUCGUCGAGGACAGCGGAGAAAUCUUGCUCCUUAAGGGUAAAGAGGUGAGCGUGUGGCGUGAGGAUUUCGCGUCUCCCCCGCGAGGCUACCCGGUGGCCAUCGGCGUGAAAUGGCCGGGCUUGCGCGACGACCUGGAGGCAGCAGUUAGAUAUAGGCGCAUCUCAUACUUUUUCAAGGGUGCAAAUUACUUCCGGUAUAACGACUACAACAGAAAAGUGGAUUACAGGAAGUCAAAGGCUGGACCCUGGCUUGGUUGCGGCAGACCUGAGCCGAAAUAGCGAGAAGGGAAUCAGAUUGUCAGCGUGCCAUUGUUCGAUGUGGGGUUGCUUUAUGUUAUAUGUAUAUACAUGAUGUAUAUGUGUCGCAAUGAUAGAAGUUGAUGUGAGAACAUCUUGCACAUGUAAGGAAAGCAUUAAACAACAUUCAGCAGCCAUGAGCCAAAGUCACAAAUACCCCAAGUUCAGUUUUAAUUGAAUUAAGACUCAACACUUUUAAAAUGGUAUUGUAACGUUUGUAUAAAACCGCAAUGUAUUUUGUUUCUCAUGAGUGUAUGCUUUACCUGUUACACCACCACUUAAGAAUUCUGGAAUCGGCGAUUAAAAACGUAUUAAACAUUAUAUGUAUCAUGAACGCAUUCCUUUUUGGAAAACAGUAUAAAGUUGUUUGAUAGUUUUCGACUUUGAUUUAGAAAAUGCUUAAAAUGUGAUCACAAUUAUUCUGGUCAUGUUGAUCAUUUAAAAUAUAGCACAGAGAUAUUAUACUUAGCAGUACUUAACAUACCAUUAAAAAUCCACUAAAUUAUGAUUUAAAAGUAUAAUUAAAUAUACAUGUAUUAAAUACCCUACUAGGUCAACAAAAGUUUAAAAAUUCUAUCAGUACAAAAUAACAUUUGGGAAGAAGGUCAAGAUCGAAGGCUUUCAUGUAUUGAACACAUUGAGAAUGAUUUGUAUGCCUUAAAGAAGUGGAUAUUUGUAAAGUAUUGGGAAUAUCAUUAUCUUUUUUGUGACGGAAAUAACUUGCGAACUUCAAUGGAUAGUUUCUAAAUUUUCAAAUAUAAACGAUGUCAGCAAUACUUGGGUCCAUCCCGGGCAUCACUCAGCUGCGGGCCUCUCGAAACGAUGACAGGAUUGACCGCCUUAACCACGUGUACACUACCGUCCUCCUGGUUGUGUUUGCCGUCGUCGUCAGCACCACCCAGUUUGCGGGUCACCCAAUCCACUGCUGGCAUCCUCCAGAGUUCGAAGAGAUGGAAUGGUACGAAAGCUACAUCGACAACUAUUGCUGGAUAUCCAAUACAUAUCAUGUUCCAUUCUCUGAAGAGCUCUUCCCCGUAAACAUUAGCGAUCGUGAGGACCGUGAAAUAACAUAUUAUCAGUGGGUACCGAUCGUGUUACUGCUCCAAGCUUUCUUGUUUAAGCUGCCAAACGUAGUCUGGAAUCUGCUACACACUUACGGUGGUCUAAAAUUAAACAAUUUAGUAAAAAUGGCCGAAACAACCCAACUUCUGAACCCAGUUGAGCGCCAAACAGUAAUUGAAAACAUAGCUUCACAUAUUGACAAAUGGCUGGACGCAGAAAGAGCUUAUAAAUGGAACAAAAUGACAGUUGCAAAGCAAAGGUUUGCCAACAUUUGCUGCUUGUUUUGUAGCAAACGUAGUGGAACGUUCCUUUGUGGUCUGUUUACAACUGUCAAACUCUUAUAUGUGUGCAAUGUGAUUGGCCAGUUCUUCAUGUUGAACUUAUUCAUGAGCAUGGACUAUAUGUUCUAUGGUUUUGACAUUUUGAAAGGAUUUCAGACUAACCAGCCGUGGAAACAGAGCCCAAGGUUCCCCCUGGUCACGUUUUGUGAUUUUCAUAUCCGACAACAACAGAACAUUCAACGCUGGACAUUGCAGUGCGUUCUUCCUAUUAACCUUUUCAAUGAGAAGGUGUUCAUCUUUCUGUGGUUCUGGCUGUUCCUGAUGGUCAUAUUGUCCAUCUACAACCUCGUCAGCUGGUGUUACAUCGUCAUGCUGAAGAGGCACCGCUACCAGUACGUGAAGAAGUACCUGAAGGUAACAAACCGAAUACAGGGCGACUUUGACGACAAGUUGUGUCGUCGGUUCGCCAAUCACUAUUUCCGGGACGACGGAGUGUUCGUACUGCGCAUCAUCUCAAACAACGCGACGGACCUGGUGACCACGGAACUCGUGAAUUACCUGUGGCAAAUGUUUCAAGACAAGCAAAGCUGUGGACGACCGAGCAGGGCCGGAGAAAAACUGCGGCCCCUGCCCAGGGAUGCAAAUACCAGCGCUACCGAACGUAACUCUAUCCAUGCAAGUUGAGAGCAUGAGUUGAUUAUGAUACUUGUUGUGUUUUUUGUUGUUGUUGUUUUUUUCAAAAUAUGUUUAAUGUUAAAUUGAAUAUGAAAUCUUUCUCUAUGAUUUCACAAAGAAGUUCAAGACUUUUUGAUCGUUUUCCCUUUAAGUCUAUUAUUAUAUUGUUCAAUGAUGAAAUUAGUCAUCGACUUCGAGUAUGAUUAUUGUAUUUCAAACUAACUCUAUAUAACUAUUAACUAUAUAAAAGUCCUUUCACAACAAAGCAGAGUUUAAACCUAAUUUGUAACUCAAAUUAUCAUUUACAAAUUGUACUUUUGAAUAGCCUGAUAUUGAUUCCUUCAAAACGACAAAAUAAUCGUUGCCUUUUCAUUAUCAGUACUUGUCAUUUUUUGUGAUUGUAUUUUGGUAGGCUACCUAUACAUCCGUGACAUAGACUAUAUUACGUGCGUCUCAACAUAUUUGCAAUUCAAACAGCAAAAUCAUGAAUAUUCGAAUGGUAUUCUUCGAACAUCAGGAUCGGUUUGAAACUGUCCAUUGACAUGAAUGGUAAGACGAAGGUCCAACAAAGUAAACACAGCCAUUACCGGUUGAAGUAGCAUUCUGUAAAUCUAAACAUAUCUCGAAAAAAACAACAUCCUAACUACACUUUGAACAAAGGACAUGAACUUCAAAAAACAGUUAUGU
This is an RNA transcript of Mya arenaria, 4305 nucleotides long. It is a transcript of the gene named macrophage metalloelastase-like, with no coding region annotated. The transcript is spliced from 12 exons. The record is from RefSeq and is a predicted model, not a curated record. Lineage: Eukaryota; Metazoa; Mollusca; Bivalvia; Myida; Myidae.